UCUAGAGAAAGAUUUAGUUAUGACUUUAAUUUUAAUUAUGAGGUUUUUUCUUUCUUGUUUUCUUAAAUCAAAUACAACCUUUCUGAAGUCUCGUAGCUCAGCCGGUUAGAGCGCUACACUGAUAAUGUAGAGGUCGGCGGUUCGAGCCCGCCCCGAGACUACAAGUAGAUACAGAAAGGGGAAUUAGCUCAGCUGGCUAGAGCGCCUGCCUUGCACGCAGGAGGUCAUCGGGUUCGACUCCGAUAUUCUCCACAACGGUCUUCUUUAAUUAGAGAUCAGAAAGUUCUUUGACAUAUUGGUAUGAACAUAUAAAGUAAGCGUCUUAAGAAAGUAAUUAAGAGCAAACGGCGGAUGCCUUGGCUUG
This 364-nucleotide transfer RNA is filed under the name uncultured marine bacterium. Its description in RNAcentral is "partial contains 16S ribosomal RNA, 16S-23S ribosomal RNA intergenic spacer, and 23S ribosomal RNA". The stretch from base 178 to 252 matches the Rfam family "tRNA". The record is from RNAcentral.